Molecule: ribosomal RNA, 404 nt
Filed under: uncultured bacterium
Lineage: Bacteria
Description: bacterial SSU rRNA
Rfam family: Bacterial small subunit ribosomal RNA
Source: RNAcentral
UAAGGAAUCUUCCACAAUGGACGAAAGUCUGAUGGAGCAACACCGCGUGCAGGAUGACGGUCUUCGGAUUGUAAACUGCUUUUAUAUGGGAAGAUUAUGACGGUACCAUAUGAAUAAGGACCGGCUAACUACGUGCCAGCAGCCGCGGUAAUACGUAGGGUCCAAGCGUUAUCCGGAAUCACUGGGCGUAAAGCGUGCGUAGGUGGCGUGUUAAGUGUGAUGUUAAAUCGCGGGGCUCAACCCUGUCGGUGCAUCGCAUACUGGCGUGCUAGAGGGAAGCAGAGGCAAGUGGAAUUGGUAGUGUAGCAGUGAAAUGCGUAGAUAUUACCAGGAACACCAAUGGCGAAGGCAGCUUGCUGGGCUUCUUCUGACACUGAGGUACGAAAGCGUGGGGAGCGAACAGG